This is a small nuclear RNA of Erinaceus europaeus (western European hedgehog), 103 nucleotides long. Lineage: Eukaryota; Metazoa; Chordata; Mammalia; Eulipotyphla; Erinaceidae. The record is from Ensembl.
GUGCUCACUUCUGGAGCACAUAUACUAAAGUUGGAAUGAUACAUAGAUGAUUAGCAUGCCCUGUGCACAAGAAUGAUAAAUUCUUAAAGUAUUUUAUAUUUUA